Molecule: long non-coding RNA, 320 nt
Organism: Malurus melanocephalus (red-backed fairy wren)
Lineage: Eukaryota; Metazoa; Chordata; Aves; Passeriformes; Maluridae
Exons: 3
Source: RefSeq, a predicted model, not a curated record
CAGGUGUCAUCUGCGCAUUCACCUUCCCCGUGCUCUACCGGCGCCACCAGGCCCAGAUCGACCAGUACACGAGUCUGGUGAGGAGCCACCUGAGCCACCUGCGAGCCAGGGUCCUGGCCAAGCUCCCAAGUGCCAAAGUGAAGCCGCAGUGACAGUGACACCCCUGUCCCUGCCUGGCCCCCCUCCCGAGGUGACAGAGGGGGGGUGGCAUGGCCGGGGGUCCCCACACCCCUCCCCCCACUCGGGGGGUGCGUGUCGCCCCCCCCUCCCCCCAUUUUCCGUGUCUUUUCCCCCCCCCAGCGUGGGGGGGGGGUCACACU